RNAcentral lists this long non-coding RNA (4799 nucleotides) under Mus musculus (house mouse). Its description in RNAcentral is "long non-coding RNA chr15:10268990-10273789". The record is from RNAcentral. Lineage: Eukaryota; Metazoa; Chordata; Mammalia; Rodentia; Muridae.
UUUUUUUUUUUCUUGGUAAUAACAAUAAGUGUCUUAGUUAGGAUUUCUAUUGCUAUAACAAGAACACUAUGACCAAAAGCAACUUGGGAAUGAAAGGGUAGCAAUAAGAUUACAGGUCUACAUAUCACAAUAUAUCACUGUAGGAAGUCAGGGCAGGAACUCAAACAGUGCAGGAACCUAGAAGAAUACGCUGAUGCAGGAGCCAUAGAGAAGUGCUGCUCAGUGGCAUGCUCCCCAUGGCUUGUUCUACCUGCCUUCUUAGAACACCUAGGACCAUCAGCCCAGCCAUCACACCAUCCACAUGGGCUAGGCCCUCCCACAUCAAUCACUAAUCAAGAAAAUGCACUACACAAACUUGCUCAUGAGCCUAGCUCCUGUAGACAUUUUCUCAAUUGAGAAUUCAUCUUCCCAAAUGAAAAUGACUCUAGCUUGUGUCAGGCUGUUAUAAAACUCACCAGCACAUACAGCGACCCAAAACUUCAUAGGUACUUUGAAAUAAGUGAAUCUCCAAUCAUGCUGCUAUCCUUUUAAGAAUUUGUAACUAUCCCUGCAAACUGUUGUGGGCUAUGUCAUGGUCUCUAAAUGCCACCCUCUUACAUCCUAAGCAGAAUGAAGCAUGAAAUAGGAACUAAGGUGUGGCACAAUGCAGACAACUUUCCUCUGGGCUCUCCUUACAGGACACUUCUCAGCCAUGAAUCUUACUGGCCUCUACCUUUCACAUAACCAGGGAAACCAAAACAUACAUCCAUUUUUUAAUCUUGUCCUCUUCCCCACACAUUCUCAAUCUUUUCUCACUGUUCCUCCCUCACAAAAGAGCAAGCAUAGGAACAAAUGAGAAAGUUUCUGACUGCCAUUGACUCUGGGAAAAUAUUAGUCUUGUGCUGAUUGUUGCAGUGAUGUACAUAUAACAUGAAAUUUACUAUCUUAAUCAUUUCAAGUGCAUGGUUAAGUACAAUCACACCAUUAUGACAAUCCCCAGUAUAUUUAAAUUUUUAUCACACAGAACUGAAACACCUUAUCUCUAUGCUACACUAACCAGUCCUUUCAAAAAAUUCCAAGUCGUAAGUCUAAGAUUAGGCAAGACAUAGCCUUUGUGCUCUUAAACACUUUUCCAAAAUAUAUUCAUUUUAAAUUUGUAUGUAUAAAAAUGAAUAGCUAUUUUAGCAUACAGAAUUAAAUCAGUCAUUUUAAUGAUUCUACUGAUUGGCUUCCAGGAGCAUCUGUGUGUCUUCUCAUUAAAGUAACCAAUGCAUUACAACUGUCAUUGCUCUGUGACUCUUCUUCUCUUGCUUUGCUAUUUAAUGUUUCUUUGAAGUCAAAGAGUAGCUCUUCAUGAUAUGCAUCCAAGUGUGCACUUAAAUCAUAGAACUUAUUCUUAGCAAGGAAGUAUGUAGUGAAGCACCUGGUCAAAUGGGAAGACAGCCUUGAGAAAGACAAUGUUUUUCCUGCUGAAUUUCUAGGAAUAGCCAACAAAGUGGGAGUCCUGAUAGGUGAGACCAGCAGUGUGCUCUUUCAUAACCUCUUUCAAUUACUCUCAACUCUUCUUUAUUUUUGGAUCCUAUGUAAAAUUUUCUAUAAAGAAAAGAGGUUAUACUAUGUUUUGAAACAAAACAUCUUGGAUCUCGAGGAACGUUUUGUCUCAUUAUUGAGAUUCAUUGGAAGCCUGUCAUUGAAUGAAAAGAUAUCAUUGAAAACAUGUGGCCUUUAAACCAACCACCGACUCUCUCCAAGCCUCUUUUCUUUAUGACUAGAAUGAGAAUAACGGUGUAUAUCUGCAUCUUCUAACACCUGAGAAGAUUUAAAAGCAGUGAGCAGUGUGCUGCCAGCCUCCUCACCCUGCUGCCUAACAAGGUCCCUCCCACAUGAGCAGAGCAAUCCAGGAAGCAGGUGACAGAGGAUGAGGUAGUCCAGAGCAGAGACAGGAAUAUAACAGAAACUGGAUCUAUCUGGCUCUGGAUACUAGAUCUAGGUUGGACGUAAUGACAUUGGGAGCUGUGACUGAUGGGUUCUCAACCAGAUGCCACCUUUCUCAGUGUCUAGAGGAGUGGUAUCUAACAAUGACUAAGAUGGUUUCCCAAGAGAAUUUGAUACUGAAAUCUCACUCCCUCUCCCUCUCCUUCUCCCUUUUCCAUCCCUUUUCUUCUCCCUCUCCCCAUCAUCCUCCUCCCUCUUCCUCCACCUUCCUUUCCAUUCCUAGUGAUCAAAUUCAGAGCCAUCCACAUGUUCGAAUAUUAGUUAGGCGCGCUUUCUAGCACUGCGGUACAUCAUCAGCCCUGGAAAGACUUAUUGCCAUGAAUGAAUCGUUACUGGCAUGUACGUGAUCAAGGCAGAGCCACCAUGGUCCAUGGGUUCUGUUAAAUACCUCACUCUGAACAUGACAAAACCUCGAUAUAACAACAUUAACAGCUUAACACGUCACUCGUGCUGACCUUGAGAAACUCUACUUUUAGAGACUUUCUGACAUAGGUGCCUCUCCCCAUCAUUGAUUUCCUCUUCGUCUGGUAACCUGGAAAUUCUUCAGGUUACUUUUGUUCUGGUUCUCUUCUUUGUUCCUUUGUCCCUCUCUUCAUCCCUUCUUCAUAACUUUUUCCUUUCACUGACUUCACUAAGACAAGAUUCUUUUGUUUUCUUCACUAACUAGUAAAUUGCUUCUUUCCCAACUCUUACUCUUAAAAGCAACAGAAUAGAGCUCUCUAAGGGAAAAUAACAUAAAGCUUGAAACCACAUAAAACUGCAUUUGUAUUUGUGUAGACAUGCAUGGAUUGUUCUUUAGGCCAGUAGAUUCAGAGACAAAAACAAACAAAAACCAUCCCCCAGUGUUACAGAUAGUUAGGGGGACUGGACUGUGUAACAUCAAUCCCAAGAAAUACCUUAAGUAAGUACUCCCAGGUUCUUUAGAAUGAAAAAUCUAGGAGGUGUCUUAGUUCUAUUGCUGAGAAGAGACACUAUAACCAAGGCAAGUCUUAUUUAAAAAAAAAAAGCAUUUAAUUGGGGCUGGCUCACAGUUUCAGAGGUUUAGUCCAUCCAUUAUCAUCAUGACAGAAAGCACUCAGGCAGACACGAUACUGGAGAAGUAACUCAGAGUUCUACAUCUAGAUCCUGCAUGCAGCAGGGAGAGAGACACAGGACCUGGCUUGGGCUUUUAAAACGCCAAACCACACCCUCAGUGAUUAAUUUUCUCCAACCAGGCUAUACCUACUCCAACCAGGCCACACCUACUCCAACAAGGCCACACCUACUCCAACAAAGCCACAUGUCCUAAUGCUACUCCCUAAGCAUUCAAGCAUAUGAUCCUAUGGGAGAUGUUCUUAUCCAAACCAUCAGAGAUGGUAUCAGAUGCCCUAUAAAGGAGUAGGGCUUUCAGGCCAAACUUACUUUGAAAGGUUCUCAAAUGAUUAUGAGACACAACGGGUUUGGGCAACAUAAACAGGUUGUUUUUAUAAAUUUCAACCACUGGCUUGCUAUCUUAUCACUCAACCUUUUACCAAUGAGCAGAUUUCAACCAAAACAACAUUUUUUUUUUUGAUUAGUUGAGUGAAAUCUCAAUUCAUUGCAUCUCAAUUUAUUGUCAGACUUUAAAUCAAGUGGGCAAUUAUUUAUUCCCAUCAAGGCAGCCUUUUGCUAUCCUGUAGCCAAAAUAAUAAAUACUGGUUGUUAGUUUUAUAUUCAACCUUGUUCCUCAGUGUUUUAAAUUAUUCUGAUACAGCUUUGGAUGGAGAGUGAAUAAAAAGAGGCAUGGUCUCUGGAGCCCCAGAUCUUCUCAUAAAGACCCAAGAAUAAAGUGGUCUAAACAACCCUUACACACUUGCUCACUCACUCAACAACUCUUUGGAAAACUCACCCAAUCCCAGCUCCGUCUCUUGAUUUACUCUUUAUUCUCAUGACUGAAGAACUCAGCUGUUUAUGUUUUAAUAAAAAAUGGUUUAAAAGACCAAGCAGAAUCCAAUGGGGACUGUUUCUGAGAUAUCCAGCUUACUGGCAUAUUCUAAUGUCUACUUGGCAAUAACUGAAAGUGUGGCCUUUGUAUUCCAAGUAACUCUGUCUUUGAGUAGUUUGCAGAUUUAUCACUUGUUGGUCUACAGCCUUUAAGUUAGGGAUCAUAUCCAAAGCUGCCUGGUUUUAUAGGAAAAGCCUAGUUGUUUCCAAAAGCAAGGCCAAUUAAUAGAGCAUUCGAGAUAUUUGAGAUCUAUUUCCAUGGAGGAAAUGAUCUUAAAGUGAAGUUAAUUAGGAGUGCAGAGAGCCAGAGAUGAUAAAUUCAGAAUUGCAUAAUAGAUUUGUAUACUAAAGGGGCCUGUGUCAUCUCCAGUCCUAAAGAGACCGGCUGCUGAAGAAUGAGACUCAGAAAAAUGGGUGGGUUAUAUCGCCUCCAGCUUUCCAUGUCACAUGCACAUGUCACAUGGCCUUUCAUGACCUAUAUUAAAGUUCUCCAGAGAAAGAGAACCAGUGGGUUAUUCUGUAAAUAUGUGUGUAGGUUUAUAUAUGCAUGUAUAUAUAAAUGAAGGGAGAUUUUUUUAUGGCAAGGGAUUGAAGUGAUGAUAUUAAGUUUAAAUUCAAUCUGGAGACCUAGGAAUGACAAUGAUGUAACUCAUUCUACAUCUCAACUGAGAGAUUCCUGGUGGUAUAACUUUUACUUAGAGGCCAAAACCUAAGGUACAGAGUAGAGACUGGGGGAGUCUAGUGACCUGAAAACCAAGAGCUCUCAUGUCCAGAGUCAGGACAAAAUGAAUCUCACAUCCACCAGACUUUUAGUUUUUCUGUUCUGACUCUUAAAGGAUUGGAUAGUACUCACCUAAAACAAC